AAGAGUGAAGUAUAUAAUAUACAUUUCAUUUACACUGAAAAGAACCUUAAGUUAGGCAUUCUUA
Molecule: transfer RNA, 64 nt
Filed under: Eubranchus sp. CG-2003
Lineage: Eukaryota; Metazoa; Mollusca; Gastropoda; Nudibranchia; Eubranchidae
Description: tRNA-Val
Source: RNAcentral